AUUGAACGCUGGCGGCAGGCCUAACACAUGCAAGUCGAGCGGAUGACGGGAGCUUGCUCCUUGAUUCAGCGGCGGACGGGUGAGUAAUGCCUAGGAAUCUGCCUGGUAGUGGGGGACAACGUUUCGAAAGGAACGCUAAUACCGCAUACGUCCUACGGGAGAAAGCAGGGGACCUUCGGGCCCUGCGCUAUCAGAUGAGCCUAGGUCGGAUUAGCUAGUUGGUGGGGUAAUGGCUCACCAAGGCGACGAUCCGUAACUGGUCUGAGAGGAUGAUCAGUCACACUGGAACUGGGACACGGUCCAGACUCCUACGGGAGGCAGCAGUGGGGAAUAUUGGACAAUUGGCGAAAGCCUGAUCCAGCCAUGCCGCGUGUGUGAAGAAGGUCUUCGGAUUGUAAAGCACUUUAAGUUGGGAGGAAGGGCAGUAAGUUAAUACCUUGCUGUUUUGACGUUACCGACAGAAUAAGCACCGGCUAACUCUGUGCCAGCAGCCGCGGUAA
Molecule: ribosomal RNA, 500 nt
Filed under: uncultured bacterium
Lineage: Bacteria
Description: partial 16S ribosomal RNA
Rfam family: Bacterial small subunit ribosomal RNA
Source: RNAcentral